GAUUGUUGUCACGUCACGGAUCGGGGAAGCAGGAGCAGGAAGACGGAGAAUCGGGAAACAAAGGAUUUAUUGGGGAAACCAGCUAGGAACACGGAACAAUAGAAGUAGCGACUUAAAUGACAUGAUUGGGGAAACAUAUUUUGAAGCGGAGUUAAAUACAUAGGACUAAUGAAAACAACUGGAAACAGCGAAUGACAUCGGGGUUCCACACGAGGUUAACGAGGGGGCGUGGCACACGGGAGGAGCGGACAAGCGGCGCAUGACAAUUUGAGUUGCAGGGAUUUGACAAAAACAUCCUUUUAGAAAUGCGUGAGGAAGGUCAAGACUCUGGUCUCCAGCUCACCGCUCUCUCUUACAUUUCCAUG
Molecule: long non-coding RNA, 365 nt
Organism: Brienomyrus brachyistius
Lineage: Eukaryota; Metazoa; Chordata; Actinopteri; Osteoglossiformes; Mormyridae
Exons: 3
Source: RefSeq, a predicted model, not a curated record